This 229-nucleotide ribosomal RNA is filed under the name uncultured Syntrophus sp. RNAcentral describes it as "partial 16S ribosomal RNA". It matches the Rfam family "Bacterial small subunit ribosomal RNA", at positions 1153 to 1374 of the family's 1533-position model. The record is from RNAcentral. Lineage: Bacteria; Pseudomonadati; Thermodesulfobacteriota; Syntrophia; Syntrophales; Syntrophaceae.
CGGUGUAAACCGGAGGAAGGUGGGGAUGACGUCAAGUCCUCAUGGCCUUUAUGCCCAGGGCUACACACGUGCUACAAUGGGUGGUACAAAGAGCAGCCAGCUCGCGAGAGUGAGCAAAUCUCAAAAAGCCAUCCUCAGUUCGGAUUGAAGUCUGCAACUCGACUUCAUGAAGUUGGAAUCGCUAGUAAUCGCGGAUCAGCAUGCCCGCGGUCGAAUACGUUCCGGCCUU